Molecule: long non-coding RNA, 279 nt
Organism: Corticium candelabrum
Lineage: Eukaryota; Metazoa; Porifera; Homoscleromorpha; Homosclerophorida; Plakinidae
Exons: 3
Source: RefSeq, a predicted model, not a curated record
GUGAAAUCUUCUCUCACUAGACGUUUUUGGUUGUGCAUGUUGUCUGUCCACAUGAACAUUGUGAUCCAGUGCAGCAAGCAAACAGCGAGCUUUGAAUGCAUCAAACCUGUCAUCAACAAAUGAGGAAACAUUGCCACGGGGCAUACUUCAAGAUUACACUGUGGUAGUUCUCUAAUGCACCUGUAUGCCUAGAAUCAAACAUGCAUCAUGACCAUUGGACUAGAAUGAAUCUCAAAACAAUCUUCCUGAGAAAUUUCAUUGCUUGAGAAUCUACUCCGA